Molecule: long non-coding RNA, 958 nt
Organism: Mauremys reevesii (Reeves's turtle)
Lineage: Eukaryota; Metazoa; Chordata; Testudines; Geoemydidae
Exons: 2
Source: RefSeq, a predicted model, not a curated record
UGGACGUGGCGGCUCCCCAGCACCAUGGGCAGUCAGUCUGACAGGCUGUCUCUCUACUGCUUCCCGCCAGCUCGUGCUCCUUCGUCACCACUCACAAGUACCUGCCUUGGAGCGUGCCAGGUCGGUAAUGACGUCACCACUUCUUUAGCCAUCAGGUCACAAUGGCGCCAGGCUGGCCUCAUUCUCCUAGGGGGCUAGUUAGUUCAUGCAGCUGGGAGUGGGGAAGGAAUUCAAGGCUUCAAGUGAGCAUCCAGUCUUUAAAUCCAAUCCCCGCCCCAGCGGCAGCGCAGAGGGAUUUAGGCUCGUGCGUGAGGCCACUCUUGCAUCCUUAGGCACAGAAGUUUCCCCAUGGCCUGACUGCCAGGUGCUCCCUCACAUCUCGUCAGCCUCAGCCCAGGAAAGCACAGGGCAGAGCCCACCUGCCUUGGAGUUGCUGAUUUGAUCGUACAGUUUUUUGCCUCGUCUAAAGAGUAUCCGAACCGCGCCAUCAAUCCAAACGCUGGGAAGGCCGGUAAUAUGGGCCAGGCUUUAUCCACAGAGCAUAAGCCGAAUCUGUGAUUGCAGCCGAGUCUCCUGGCUGGCCCCUAGCCAUGCGCUUUAGAGGAUGGGGGCCAGGAGAGUGGCUGGGAUCCUGCUCUAAUCAGGUUUCCUGGUAAGAAGCCCAGCCCUGCUCCCAACUGCAGUGGGUCUGUCCAUUGUUAAUGACAGAUGUCCAACAGCUGGCACCACCAACCCCACUCCAGCUCCCAUCUCACCCUCACUUCUUCCAGUCAAUUCUCCCUCCAUCCCAACCCAGUAAUUCCUGGACCUGAUCCCCAGCUGGAGGUGGCUGCUUCCUGGCCUGGAGUUUGACGCCGUGACCCUCCCAGCCCCGCUCCCCAGCUGGCCACGUGACAGCACUCCACUUAAUUCAGGAUUUGAGGCAGAGAGGGGAUUAAAGAGUGGUCAUUAUUCACAU